ACCGGGUGCGGUGGCAUGUGCCUGUAAUCCAAGUCACUGGGAGGCUGAGGUUGGUGGAUCAAGUGAGCUGAGGAGCUCUGGGCUGCAGCACGCUAUGUCGAACGGGUGUCCACGCUAAGUUCGGUAUCGAUAUGGUGUUCCUGGGGGAGCCCGGGACCACCAGGUUGUCUAAGGAGGGGUGAACCGGCCCAGGUCGGAAACGAAGCAGGUCAAAUCCCCCGUGCUGUCCAGUAGUGGGAUAAUACCUGUGAGUAGAUGCUGCAGUGCAGCCUUGGCAAAACAUCGAGACCUAAUCUUUU
This is an unclassified non-coding RNA of Oncorhynchus mykiss (rainbow trout), 299 nucleotides long. It matches the Rfam family "Metazoan signal recognition particle RNA". From Rfam's summary of the family: The signal recognition particle (SRP) is a universally conserved ribonucleoprotein. NCBI's taxonomy places the organism in Eukaryota, Metazoa, Chordata, Actinopteri, Salmoniformes, Salmonidae. The record is from Ensembl.